UGAGUAACCUGCCCUUAACUCUGGGAUAAGCCUGGGAAACUGGGUCUAAUACCGGAUAUGACUCCUCAUCGCAUGGUGGGGGGUGGAAAGCUUUAUUGUGGUUUUGGAUGGACUCGCGGCCUAUCAGCUUGUUGGUGAGGUAAUGGCUCACCAAGGCGACGACGGGUAGCCGGCCUGAGAGGGUGACCGGCCACACUGGGACUGAGACACGGCCAGACUCCUACGGGAGCAG
Molecule: ribosomal RNA, 232 nt
Filed under: uncultured bacterium
Lineage: Bacteria
Description: partial 16S ribosomal RNA
Rfam family: Bacterial small subunit ribosomal RNA
Source: RNAcentral